UACGGAGGGUGCGAGCGUUAAUCGGAAUUACUGGGCGUAAAGCGCGCGUAGGCGGUUUGUUAAGUCAGCUGUGAAAGCCCCGGGCUCAACCUGGGAACUGCAGUUGAUACUGGCCGACUGGAGUACGAGAGAGGGAGGUAGAAUUCCAUGUGUAGCGGUGAAAUGCGUAGAUAUAUGGAGGAAUACCGGUGGCGAAGGCGGCCUCCUGGCUCGAUACUGACGCUGAGGUGCGAAGGCGUGGGGAUCAAACAGG
Molecule: ribosomal RNA, 253 nt
Filed under: uncultured bacterium
Lineage: Bacteria
Description: partial 16S ribosomal RNA
Rfam family: Bacterial small subunit ribosomal RNA
Source: RNAcentral